GAUGAAGAACGUAGUGAAAUGCGAUAAGUAAUGUGAAUUGCAGAAUUCAGUGAAUCAUCGAAUCUUUGAACGCACAUUGCGCCCUCUGGUAUUCCGGGGGGCAUGCCUGUUCGAGCGUCAUUAUAACCACUCAAGCUCUCGCUUGGUAUUGGGGUUCGCGGUUCCGCGGCCCCUAAAAUCAGUGGCGGUGCCUGUCGGCUCUACGCGUAGUAAUACUCCUCGCGUCUGGGUCCGGUAGGUCUACUUGCCAGCAACCCCCAAUUUUUACAGGUUGACCUCGGAUCAGGUAGGGAUACCCGCUGAACUUAAGCAUAUCAAUAAGCGGAGGA
Molecule: unclassified non-coding RNA, 329 nt
Filed under: soil metagenome
Description: partial contains 5.8S ribosomal RNA, internal transcribed spacer 2, and large subunit ribosomal RNA
Rfam family: 5.8S ribosomal RNA (bases 1-120)
Source: RNAcentral